UACGUAGGGAGCAAGCGUUGUCCGGAAUCAUUGGGCGUAAAGAGCGCGUAGGCGGUCCGGUAAGUCGGUUGUGAAAACUGGGGGCUCAACCCUCAGAGGCCGACCGAUACUGCCGGGCUAGAGUCCGGAAGAGGCGAGUGGAAUUCCUGGUGUAGCGGUGAAAUGCGCAGAUAUCAGGAGGAACACCGGUGGCGAAGGCGGAUCUCUGGGCCUUACCUGACGCUCAGGCGCGAAAGCUAGGGGAGCGAACUGG
This 253-nucleotide ribosomal RNA is filed under the name uncultured bacterium. RNAcentral's name for it is "partial 16S ribosomal RNA". It matches the Rfam family "Bacterial small subunit ribosomal RNA", at positions 524 to 776 of the family's 1533-position model. The record is from RNAcentral.